AGUCACUAUUUGGCAUUCAGUUUCUCAAGACAUUUGUCAAUAUGCUGUUUAGUAAUUAUAUACAGUGAGGGGAAAAGUAUUUGAUCCACGGAUGUCAGGAAUAAGGUUGUAGACCUACACGAGGCUGGAAUGGGCUACAAGACCAUUGCCAUGCAGCUUGGUGAGAAGGUGACAACAGCUGGUGUGAUGAUUUGCAAAUGGAAGAAACACAAAAUAACUAUCAG
Non-coding RNA from Pelobates cultripes (western spadefoot toad), 224 nucleotides. The record is from the annotation of a GenBank genome assembly. Lineage: Eukaryota; Metazoa; Chordata; Amphibia; Anura; Pelobatidae.